RNAcentral lists this ribosomal RNA (450 nucleotides) under uncultured bacterium. RNAcentral's name for it is "bacterial SSU rRNA". It matches the Rfam family "Bacterial small subunit ribosomal RNA", at positions 29 to 524 of the family's 1533-position model. The record is from RNAcentral.
AACGAACGCUGGCGGCAUGCCUAACACAUGCAAGUCGAACGAGACCUUCGGGUCUAGUGGCGCACGGGUGCGUAACGCGUGGGAAUCUGCCCUUGGGUUCGGAAUAACAGCGAGAAAUUGCUGCUAAUACCGGAUGAUGACGUAAGUCCAAAGAUUUAUCGCCCAAGGAUGAGCCCGCGUAGGAUUAGCUAGUUGGUGAGGUAAAGGCUCACCAAGGCGACGAUCCUUAGCUGGUCUGAGAGGAUGAUCAGCCACACUGGGACUGAGACACGGCCCAGACUCCUACGGGAGGCAGCAGUGGGGAAUCUUGGACAAUGGGCGCAAGCCUGAUCCAGCCAUGCCGCGUGAGUGAAGAAGGCCUUAGGGUUGUAAAACUCUUUCGCCGGAGAAGAUAAUGACGGUAUCCGGAGAAGAAGCCCCGGCUAACUUCGUGCCAGCAGCCGCGGUAAU